CCUACGGGGGGCUGCAGUGAGGAAUAUUGGUCAAUGGACGAGAGUCUGAACCAGCCAAGUAGCGUGAAGGAUGACUGCCCUAUGGGUUGUAAACUUCUUUUAUAUGGGAAUAAAAUGUUCCACGUGUGGGAUUUUGUAUGUACCAUAUGAAUAAGGAUCGGCUAACUCCGUGCCAGCAGCCGCGGUAAUACGGAGGAUCCGAGCGUUAUCCGGAUUUAUUGGGUUUAAAGGGAGCGUAGGUGGAUUGUUAAGUCAGUUGUGAAAGUUUGCGGCUCAUCCGUAAAAUUGCAGUUGAAACUGGCAGUCUUGAGUACAGUAGAGGUGGGCGGAAUUCGUGGUGUAGCGGUGAAAUGCUUAGAUAUCACGAAGAACUCCGAUUGCGAAGGCAGUUCACUGGACUGCAACUGACACUGAGGCUCGAAAGUGUGGGUAUCAAACAGGAUUAGAUACCCGAGUAGUC
Molecule: ribosomal RNA, 460 nt
Filed under: uncultured bacterium
Lineage: Bacteria
Description: partial 16S ribosomal RNA
Rfam family: Bacterial small subunit ribosomal RNA
Source: RNAcentral